This is a non-coding RNA of Acanthosepion pharaonis, 106 nucleotides long. The record is from the annotation of a GenBank genome assembly. Lineage: Eukaryota; Metazoa; Mollusca; Cephalopoda; Sepiida; Sepiidae.
UACAGCCAUAUCAUAUUGAAACACCAGUUCCUAUACGAUCACUGAAGUUAAGCAACAUUGAGCCUGAUCAGUACCUAGAUGGGUGACCACAUAUCAGGUGCUGUAA